GUGGGGAAUUUUGGACAAUGGGCGCAAGCCUGAUCCAGCAAUGCCGCGUGCAGGAAGAAGGCCUUCGGGUUGUAAACUGCUUUUGUACGGAACGAAACGGUCCUGGCUAAUACCCGGGGCUAAUGACGGUACCGUAAGAAUAAGCACCGGCUAACUACGUGCCAGCAGCCGCGGUAAUACGUAGGGUGCGAGCGUUAAUCGGAAUUACUGGGCGUAAAGCGUGCGCAGGCGGUUUUGUAAGACAGGCGUGAAAUCCCCGGGCUCAACCUGGGAAUUGCGCUUGUGACUGCAAGGCUGGAGUGCGGCAGAGGGGGAUGGAAUUCCGCGUGUAGCAGUGAAAUGCGUAGAUAUGCGGAGGAACACCGAUGGCGAAGGCAAUCCCCUGGGCCUGCACUGACGCUCAUGCACGAAAGCGUGGGGAGCAAACAGGAUUAGAAACCCCGGUAGUCC
RNAcentral lists this ribosomal RNA (450 nucleotides) under uncultured bacterium. Its description in RNAcentral is "partial 16S ribosomal RNA". It matches the Rfam family "Bacterial small subunit ribosomal RNA", at positions 354 to 796 of the family's 1533-position model. The record is from RNAcentral.